This 1197-nucleotide ribosomal RNA is filed under the name Campylobacter coli. RNAcentral's name for it is "bacterial SSU rRNA". It matches the Rfam family "Bacterial small subunit ribosomal RNA", at positions 319 to 1533 of the family's 1533-position model. Lineage: Bacteria; Pseudomonadati; Campylobacterota; Epsilonproteobacteria; Campylobacterales; Campylobacteraceae. The record is from RNAcentral.
CUGAGACACGGUCCAGACUCCUACGGGAGGCAGCAGUAGGGAAUAUUGCGCAAUGGGGGAAACCCUGACGCAGCAACGCCGCGUGGAGGAUGACACUUUUCGGAGCGUAAACUCCUUUUCUUAGGGAAGAAUUCUGACGGUACCUAAGGAAUAAGCACCGGCUAACUCCGUGCCAGCAGCCGCGGUAAUACGGAGGGUGCAAGCGUUACUCGGAAUCACUGGGCGUAAAGGGCGCGUAGGCGGAUUAUCAAGUCUCUUGUGAAAUCUAAUGGCUUAACCAUUAAACUGCUUGGGAAACUGAUAGUCUAGAGUGAGGGAGAGGCAGAUGGAAUUGGUGGUGUAGGGGUAAAAUCCGUAGAUAUCACCAAGAAUACCCAUUGCGAAGGCGAUCUGCUGGAACUCAACUGACGCUAAGGCGCGAAAGCGUGGGGAGCAAACAGGAUUAGAUACCCUGGUAGUCCACGCCCUAAACGAUGUACACUAGUUGUUGGGGUGCUAGUCAUCUCAGUAAUGCAGCUAACGCAUUAAGUGUACCGCCUGGGGAGUACGGUCGCAAGAUUAAAACUCAAAGGAAUAGACGGGGACCCGCACAAGCGGUGGAGCAUGUGGUUUAAUUCGACGAUACGCGAAGAACCUUACCUGGGCUUGAUAUCCUAAGAACCUUUUAGAGAUAAGAGGGUGCUAGCUUGCUAGAACUUAGAGACAGGUGCUGCACGGCUGUCGUCAGCUCGUGUCGUGAGAUGUUGGGUUAAGUCCCGCAACGAGCGCAACCCACGUAUUUAGUUGCUAACGGUUCGGCCGAGCACUCUAAAUAGACUGCCUUCGUAAGGAGGAGGAAGGUGUGGACGACGUCAAGUCAUCAUGGCCCUUAUGCCCAGGGCGACACACGUGCUACAAUGGCAUAUACAAUGAGACGCAAUACCGCGAGGUGGAGCAAAUCUAUAAAAUAUGUCCCAGUUCGGAUUGUUCUCUGCAACUCGAGAGCAUGAAGCCGGAAUCGCUAGUAAUCGUAGAUCAGCCAUGCUACGGUGAAUACGUUCCCGGGUCUUGUACUCACCGCCCGUCACACCAUGGGAGUUGAUUUCACUCGAAGCCGGAAUACUAAACUAGUUACCGUCCACAGUGGAAUCAGCGACUGGGGUGAAGUCGUAACAAGGUAACCGUAGGAGAACCUGCGGUUGGAUCACCUCCUUUCUA